This 261-nucleotide ribosomal RNA is filed under the name uncultured prokaryote. RNAcentral's name for it is "partial 16S ribosomal RNA". It matches the Rfam family "Bacterial small subunit ribosomal RNA", at positions 524 to 784 of the family's 1533-position model. The record is from RNAcentral.
GACGAACCGCCCAAACGUUAUUCGGAAUUACUGGGCUUAAAGGGUGCGUAGGCGGCCAUUUAAGUCAGCGGUGAAAUUUUGCAGCUUAACUGUAACAGUGCCGUUGAUACUGUUUGGCUAGGAUUUGGUUGUAGUGUGCGGAAUGUGUGGUGUAGCGGUGAAAUGCUUAGAUAUCACACAGAACACCGAUUGCGAAGGCAGCACACUAAGUCAUUAUUGACGCUGAGGCACGAAAGUGUGGGGAGCGAACAGGAUUAGAUA